Long non-coding RNA from Dermacentor andersoni, 397 nucleotides. RefSeq lists it as uncharacterized. NCBI's taxonomy places the organism in Eukaryota, Metazoa, Arthropoda, Arachnida, Ixodida, Ixodidae. The record is from RefSeq and is a predicted model, not a curated record.
AAAAGACACAGAGGGUCGGGCCUUCGUGCACCUUGCAUCAGUUGCUCGAUCCAGUAGCUGGCCUCCUCCUGGUAUUUCGUCCCAUCAGACAAUAAAGUCAGACUCGUUGCUGAGAUGAACUUCACCGCUGCCAUCAUGCUCGUCGCACUCCUUACAGCGUUCGUGGGGAUGAUCACUGCAGCCGACGAGAGAAAUGACGAGGCGCGAACGGGAAGUGGUUAUGGCUCUGGAUGCCCAGACCCCAGUGCCUGCACCAAAAGCUGCAAAGCCAAGGGUUUCCUCGUAGGCGUAUGCCUCCAACCUCUACUGCAAAUCUGUUUGUGUACGUAAAUUUAUUGAAGUCGACGACUGACUGGCAAUAAAGCUCGCUUACUAUGCGCUUGUCAAAUUUCUCCUA